GAGGAAAUACAGACUAUUGUACCUAAAUUGUACCUGACUGUGACACUCCAAGUCCUAAAAACAGGUUUUAUGAUGGUGUCCAUAUUGAAAGACGCUAUCGCCCGUAACCUACGAAAGCCUGACGCAACUUUAGUUGGACGAUUGGUAAAGUAUUUGUUAGUGAAGCGAAAUGCCAAUUUGGAAAGAGAAGCAGUAAGACUGUGUAAAAUACAACCGGACCAUUAAGUGUUAGAGCUCGGGUUUGGUCCAGGUCUCGGGAUUGAAGCCGCGUGCCAACUUCUCAAAGGUGGGAAAGGUAAAAUUUAUGGAGUUGACUUCUCGGAUAAAAUGGUUAUCGCCGCGACGAAACGUGUGAAAAAAGACAUCGACGAUGGAAAGGUUGAACUGAUCAACGGUGAUGUAGCAGACCUAUCAUGUUUUGACUCCAACACAUUUGACCGUGUUUUCCAUUGUAACUGUUACUAUUUCUGGCCAGAUAUUGAUAAAGUAGCACGUGAACUCCAUCGUGUGAUGAAAUCAGAUGCAGUCAUUGUAACCACGAUGAGUAGCGAGCGAGUGAAGCGUUUAAAGGACAAGGGUUUUCUACAGUAUGGUAAUCCUGAUCAAGCACGCUAUCUGAACGCUUUAAAGUCAGGUGGGUUUUGUGAUGUUCGGUUAGAAACAUUAAAAAGCGAUCAAUCUGGUGCAAAUUAUGAUGCAAUCUUUGCGAAAAAAUAUUUUAGAUGUAAAGAAGAAAAACUUUGAUUUGUUGCCAUGCUUGUUGUUUUGUAUUGGACACGUAACGCGCACCAAUUGUGUCUCGAUUCCAUGUGCUACACAUUAGAAAAGUAGAAUGCUUGUCGAGUUUUUUUGCCUGUGAUGUUAAUAAAUGUACUGUGUAUAAAUUGUUUAACAGUACAUGCUCACAGUAUGUUUUAUCUAUAUU
RNAcentral lists this long non-coding RNA (925 nucleotides) under Mizuhopecten yessoensis (Yesso scallop). Its description in RNAcentral is "uncharacterized LOC110457579, transcript variant X2". The record is from RNAcentral. Lineage: Eukaryota; Metazoa; Mollusca; Bivalvia; Pectinida; Pectinidae.